GGCAAGCGCACUCUGUGUCACAUCGAUAUCCAGCCUCAUGUGAUGACAAUUUGUAAGCUUGCCAGAGAAAGGCGGUGCUUCGCUUAUCCAUGUGGCAACGAUCUUCCCAGCUGCCGCAUUGAAUUCGGGCUCCACACUAA
RNAcentral lists this small nucleolar RNA (140 nucleotides) under Drosophila ficusphila. RNAcentral describes it as "small nucleolar RNA psi18S-841/snoR66". It matches the Rfam family "Small nucleolar RNA psi18S-841/snoR66". Rfam says of the family: psi18S-841 is a member of the H/ACA class of snoRNA. Lineage: Eukaryota; Metazoa; Arthropoda; Insecta; Diptera; Drosophilidae. The record is from RNAcentral.